UGUGGCGAAAUUGAGACACAGGC
Molecule: non-coding RNA, 23 nt
Filed under: Cricetulus griseus (Chinese hamster)
Lineage: Eukaryota; Metazoa; Chordata; Mammalia; Rodentia; Cricetidae
Source: RNAcentral